This 250-nucleotide ribosomal RNA is filed under the name uncultured Clostridium sp. RNAcentral's name for it is "partial 16S ribosomal RNA". It matches the Rfam family "Bacterial small subunit ribosomal RNA", at positions 547 to 795 of the family's 1533-position model. Lineage: Bacteria; Bacillati; Bacillota; Clostridia; Eubacteriales; Clostridiaceae. The record is from RNAcentral.
AGGAUUUACUGGGGGUAAAGGGGGCGUAGGUGGAUAUUUAAGUGGGAUGUGAAAUACCCGGGCUCAACCUGGGUGCUGCAUUCCAAACUGGGAAUCUAGAGUGCAGGAGGGGAGAGUGGAAUUCCUAGUGUAGCGGUGAAAUGCGUAGAGAUUAGGAAGAACACCAGUGGCGAAGGCGACUCUCUGGACUGUAACUGACGCUGAGGCUCGAAAGCGUGGGGAGCAAACAGGAUUAGAUACCCUAGUAGUC